AGAGUUUGAUCCUGGCUCAGGACGAACGCUGGCGGCGUGCUUAACACAUGCAAGUCGAGCGGAAAGGCCCUUCGGGGUACUCGAGCGGCGAACGGGUGAGUAACACGUGGGUAACCUGCCCCUUGCUCUGGGAUAACUCCGGGAAACCGGGGCUAAUACCGGAUAUGACACUUGAAGGCAUCUUUGGGUGUGGAAAGUUUUUCGGCGAGGGAUGGGCCCGCGGCCUAUCAGCUUGUUGGUGGGGUGAUGGCCUACCAAGGCGGUGACGGGUAGCCGGCCUGAGAGGGCGACCGGCCACACUGGGACUGAGACACGGCCCAGACUCCUACGGGAGGCAGCAGUGGGGAAUAUUGCGCAAUGGGCGAAAGCCUGACGCAGCGACGCCGCGUGAGGGAUGACGGCCUUCGGGUUGUAAACCUCUUUCAGCAGGGACGAAGCGCAAGUGACGGUACCUGCAGAAGAAGCACCGGCCAACUACGUGCCAGCAGCCGCGGUAAUACGUAGGGUGCAAGCGUUGUCCGGAAUUAUUGGGCGUAAAGAGCUCGUAGGCGGCUUGUCACGUCGACUGUGAAAACCCGGGGCUCAACUCCGGGCCUGCAGUCGAUACGGGCUGGCUUGAGUGCGGUAGGGGAGACUGGAAUUCCUGGUGUAGCGGUGAAAUGCGCAGAUAUCAGGAGGAACACCGGUGGCGAAGGCGGGUCUCUGGGCCGUAACUGACGCUGAGGAGCGAAAGCGUGGGGAGCGAACAGGAUUAGAUACCCUAGUAGUCC
RNAcentral lists this ribosomal RNA (770 nucleotides) under uncultured bacterium. RNAcentral describes it as "bacterial SSU rRNA". It matches the Rfam family "Bacterial small subunit ribosomal RNA", at positions 8 to 796 of the family's 1533-position model. The record is from RNAcentral.